Molecule: long non-coding RNA, 1367 nt
Organism: Mesocricetus auratus (golden hamster)
Lineage: Eukaryota; Metazoa; Chordata; Mammalia; Rodentia; Cricetidae
Exons: 3
Source: RefSeq, a predicted model, not a curated record
AUGAUGUUUCAUUGCUGAAAUGCUAAGACACCCUGUCUCAAAAAAUUGGAAAAAAGGGACGUGGACAGGUGGCAUUAGCAACUAUGCACAUUGGCUGUUUUUCCAGAGGACACAGAAUUCUCAGACCCAGAUGGAAGUGCACAGCUGUCUGUAAGUCCUGUUCCAGGGUAUCCAACACACUGACAUGCAUGCAAAGAAAACACUUAUGCAUGUAAAACAAAAACAUAUUACUAAAAAAAGAAUGUGUCACAUUAUGGAACUUUCUCUAACAUAACCUGUACUCCUCUCGACUCAACUACGUCUUUUGUUUCUUCAUUCUCAUCAGGAGAACUGUGUUAACAAUUGCAAUAAGAAGCAAUGUGCAGAGUCCAUGAACAGAAAAUAGAAAUGGGAAAUUCAUCACCUCCAAGUGAUAGAGGACAGCUUGGCAGUUGGGGAUUUGACUCAGUUGUACUGCUGCUGUUGGGUACCCAAGAUUGGUUCCUAGCACCCACAUCAGACGACUCAGAACUACUUGCAAAGUCUUGUCCUGGAUGUCUGAUACACUCUUCUGUCUUCUGUGGGCACCAGGUCCCACUAUCUUUAGAGUGAUGAAAAGUGGCACUUGAACAGAAACAGGAAGUAAGCUGCAAGUUCAGAAAUUGGCAAACCUCGGGGAAGGCGGCAGAAACUUUUUCUAUUGAUGGCUCACUUAAUGUAUUAGGAAGAAUUCCUAGUCCAGAUAGCCCCCAACUGUCUGACCUUUUUGGGCUCCAUGUUCUGGGCCACAACCCUGGCAGAAGACUUCUGCUUUACUGGAGAUCAUGCCAGUACUAGGGCCUCAGAUAAGAUACCUCCCAUGCCCACUAACACUCCUGAAAGACUACCCAAUGGCCCCCAAGUGCACUUGAGCUUGAUAUCCUAGCCUACAGUUUUGGCAGAAGACUUCUGCUUUACCAGUGGUUAUGCAUUACUAGGAACCCCAGAGGCCAUAUAGGUACUUGCAACCACAGAGGGGAUAUUGGCACCCAAAACAGCAGAGAUCAUGCAGGAUGCAAAACCUCAAUGGAGACACCCUACUGGACUGAAGACUUGCUGGUUACCAGAAUUCCAAGCCACUCAAGCCAGGAGACCAGAGAGGAAACAAUCCAAGGGAAAAUCAUCCAAAAAAAAAAUACCCAUCUAACAAAAUCAGAAGUCAAAACCUAGUAUAGUAACUACAAACCCAGAUGACUAGAGGCAGUUUAAGUUUAAAAUGAAAAACAGUCAGAGUAAUAUGGCACCACCAAAGUCCAGCUAUCCUACUACAGCAAGCCCUGGAUAUUCCAACAUAGAUGAAGCACAAGAAAAUGACCUUAAAUCCAAUCUUAUGAAAAUGAUAGAGUCCC